CCGUUUAGCUAAUGGGAGAGGAUAGGAGGCCAGUUGGAGCUUAUAUAGAAUUCUUAGGCAGAUACAUGUACAGUUCGCGGGUAUCGCUAAUGUUGCUCUUCUGCUGCAGUUUUCUCUCCCCUGCACCCUCCCUCCCCUCUCCCUCUCCCUCUCCCUCUCCCUCUCCCUCAAGGAAGGAGAACAAGUCACCUGGAGUUAAGGGCCUCCCAGGUUCAGGUGAAGCAUAAUCUCGGAGAUCAUUAAGACAGGAGAUGGAGAUCAUUUAUAGGCCUUAUGUUGAUCCGGAUAUCGUAUCUCUAAUUGAAAGAAUGCAUCCUCCAAGGGUUUCCAUAGACAAUGAUACCUGCCCAGAUUGCACCCUUGUGAAGGUUAGUAACUAAGAACAAGAAUUUUUAGAAAGUAGGAAUCUUUAUUAGUUGUUUGGCGACCUUUGUUAGACCAAAGUUAUUGCUUAGUCAGGUCUUUCUUUAAGGGAUGAUACCAAUGGUUUCCUUGACUAAAUUAUUCAGCUAGAAUUUCUAAGUUGAAACGGUGGGGACGGGCU
Non-coding RNA from Coffea arabica (coffee), 544 nucleotides. The record is from RefSeq and is a predicted model, not a curated record. Lineage: Eukaryota; Viridiplantae; Streptophyta; Magnoliopsida; Gentianales; Rubiaceae.